AUGCAAGUCGAGCGGGGAUGGACUCUUCGGAGGCCAUUCUAGCGGCGGACGGGUGAGUAACGCGUGAGCAAUCUAGCUUUUAGAGGGGGAUAACACAUUGAAAGAUGUGCUAAUACCGCAUGAGACCACAGAGCCACAUGGCUUAGGGGUCAAAGGAGAAAUCCGCUGAGGGGUGAGCUCGCGUCUGAUUAGCUAGUUGGUGAGGUAACGGCUCACCAAGGCGACGAUCAGUAGCCGACCUGAGAGGGUGAUCGGCCACACUGGAACUGAGAAACGGUCCAGACUCCUACGGGAGGCAGCAGUGGGGAAUAUUGGGCAAUGGGGGAAACCCUGACCCAGCAACGCCGCGUGAGGGAAGAAGGUUUUCGGAUCGUAAACCUCUGUCUUAUGUGAAGAGAAGAAGACGGUAGCAUAAGAGGAAGCCCCGGCUAACUACGUGCCAGCAGCCGCGGUAAUACGUAGGGGGCAAGCGUUGUCCGGAAUGACUGGGCGUAAAGGGCGCGUAGGCGGCCUGAUAAGUCUGGAGUGAAAGUCCCGCUUUCAAGGUGGGAAUUGCUUUGGAAACUGUCGGGCUUGAGUGUGGGAGAGGAAAGCGGAAUUCCCGGUGUUAGCGGUGAAAUGCGUAAAGAUCGGGA
Molecule: ribosomal RNA, 635 nt
Filed under: uncultured Eubacteriales bacterium
Lineage: Bacteria; Bacillati; Bacillota; Clostridia; Eubacteriales
Description: bacterial SSU rRNA
Rfam family: Bacterial small subunit ribosomal RNA
Source: RNAcentral